Molecule: long non-coding RNA, 626 nt
Filed under: Physcomitrium patens
Lineage: Eukaryota; Viridiplantae; Streptophyta; Bryopsida; Funariales; Funariaceae
Description: long non-coding RNA (PPAT_LNC005606)
Source: RNAcentral
AUUAGAGAGAGGAGCUUCAUGCUUCGGGUCGGGGAAGGAAAGACAUAGAAUUUGGAUUUUUCUUCUUCGUAGAGUUUUGGAAAGACUGAGGCAAUCGUUGCUGAAGUCAGUGUUGUAAUGGUGAAUCGGGAUUUUUAAAUGAAGUGGGUUUGAAUACUCUUGACUGUUUUGUAAAAUCGAGUUACGUCUGUGAUUGAAGGAUUAAAAGGGUGUCUAUAGGAUUGAGUAUGCGGAGUGAAUGAAAUUUAUUGGGUUAAUCUAACAAGACAGUCAGUGGAUACAAGAUCGUAAGUACAAAAGGGUAUUGAAGAUUAACAGUUUGGGUUGUUCGGGGUUCUCUGUAACGUCUAGAGACCUACCGGCUGGGGCAAAAAAAAGACUUCGACAAGCAGUCAAAGAGCAUCCGUAUAGAUUUAUGGUACAUUAUUGCAGUCGUUUAUAUUCCAGCAGUCAAAAACUGAUAGACUGCUUGACUAUCGGCGAAUCUCCAUACUACCUUCUACAGUCAGAUGCUCGGCAUGUUCUCGAGCAGGAAAGCACGUAAUACGACAUAAGUGGUGAACCCAACGUGAAAGCUUGAGGUGGAAGGUAUUGGAUUUCGGUUGAUUUUAUCUUUAUUUUUAUGG